RNAcentral lists this signal recognition particle RNA (270 nucleotides) under Saimiri boliviensis boliviensis (Bolivian squirrel monkey). Its description in RNAcentral is "Metazoan signal recognition particle RNA (ENSSBOG00000006835.1)". It matches the Rfam family "Metazoan signal recognition particle RNA". Rfam says of the family: The signal recognition particle (SRP) is a universally conserved ribonucleoprotein. It is involved in the co-translational targeting of proteins to membranes. Lineage: Eukaryota; Metazoa; Chordata; Mammalia; Primates; Cebidae. The record is from RNAcentral.
GCCAGGCACGGUGGUGCGUGCCUGUAGUUCCAGCUACUCAGGAGGCUGAGGUAGGUGGAUUGCUUGAGCCCAGGAGUUCUGGGCUGUAGUGCACUAUGCUGAUCAGGUGUCUGCACUGUUUGGCAUCAAUAUGGUGACCUCCCGGGAGCGGGUGAACCGCCCAGGUCAGAAACAGAGCAGGUCAAAACUCCUGUGCUGAUCUGUAGUGGGAUCACACCUGUGAAUAGCCACUGCACUCCAGCCUGGGCUACAUAGCAAUACCCCAUCUCU